GACGAACGCUGGCGGCGUGCCUAAUACAUGCAAGUAGAACGCAGAAGGAGGGGCUUGCUUCUCUGGAUGAGUUGCGCACGGGUGAGUAACGCGUAGGUAACCUGCCUGGUAGCGGGGGAUAACUAUUGGAAACGAUAGCUAAUACCGCAUAAGAGUAAAUGUUGCAUGACGUUUGCUUAAAAGGUGCAAUUGCAUCACUACCAGAUGGACCUGCGUUGGAUUAGGUAGUUGGUGAGGUAACGGCUUAACAAAGCGACGAUUCAUAGCCGACCUUGGAGGGGGGUCGGCCAACCCGGGACCGGGAACCCGCCCAGACUUCCUAGGGGAGCAGCAAUAGGGAAACCUUGGCAAUGGGCGGAAGUCUGAACGGGCCACGCCGCGUGGGGGAAGAAGGGUUUCGGAUCGUAAAGACCUGUUGUAAGGGAAGAACGAGUGUUGGAGUGAAAAAUGCACGCUGUGACGGUACCUAACCAGAAAGCGACGGCUAACUACGUG
Molecule: ribosomal RNA, 495 nt
Filed under: uncultured bacterium
Lineage: Bacteria
Description: partial 16S ribosomal RNA
Rfam family: Bacterial small subunit ribosomal RNA
Source: RNAcentral